AUUGAACGCUGGCGGCAGGCCUAACACAUGCAAGUCGAACGUGUGGCGGACGGGUGAGUAAUGUCUGGGAAUCUGCCUGAUGGAGGGGGAUAACUACUGGAAACGGUAGCUAAUACCGCAUACCAUCAGAUGUGCCCAGAUGGGAUUAGCUUGUUGGUGGGGUAACGGCUCAACAAUGCGACGAUCCCUAGCUGGUCUGAGAGGUUGACCGGCCACACUGGAACUGGGAAACUGUCCAGACUCCUACGGGGGGCAGCAGUAGGGAAUAUUUGACAAUGGGCGAAAGCCUGAUGAAGCAAGGCCGAGUGGAUGAAGAAGGCCUUCGGGUUGUAAAGUACUGUUAGUAGGGAGGCGGUAUCUACAGAAGAAGAACCGGCUAACUCCGUGCCAGCAGCCGCGGUAAUUC
This 406-nucleotide ribosomal RNA is filed under the name uncultured bacterium. RNAcentral's name for it is "partial 16S ribosomal RNA". It matches the Rfam family "Bacterial small subunit ribosomal RNA", at positions 30 to 526 of the family's 1533-position model. The record is from RNAcentral.